RNAcentral lists this ribosomal RNA (3003 nucleotides) under SAR202 cluster bacterium AD-804-J14_MRT_500m. Its description in RNAcentral is "Bacterial large subunit ribosomal RNA". It matches the Rfam family "Bacterial large subunit ribosomal RNA". Lineage: Bacteria; Bacillati; Chloroflexota; Dehalococcoidia. The record is from Rfam by way of RNAcentral.
GGUCAAGUUAUUAAGAGCUUACGGUGGAUGCCUAGGAGCUAAGGGCCUAAAAAGGGCGUAGCAAGACUGCGAAAAGCCUCGGUGAGCCGUCUAGCAGGCGUAGCCGGGGAUUCCCGAAUGGGGCAACCCGGCCUGGUGUUGAGCCAGGUCAUCCAACCCUGUAAUGGGGACGGAAGGGAACCAGGGGAACUGAAACAUCUAAGUACCCUGAGGAAAGUAAAUCAACCGAGAUUCCCUUAGUAGUGGCGAACGAACGGGGAAUAGCCCAAACCUCUAUGACUUAACGGUUCGAAGGCCUAUGUCAUAGGGGGGUUGUAGGUGGCGUUAGAGGAAGCUUCGAGAUUCUCAAGGAGUUACAAAUCUUAUCUUUAACCGAGGGUUCCUGGAAAGGACCGUCAUAGAGGGUGAAAGCCCCGUAGGUGAAAAGGAUAAGACUCCUAAUGCCUUCCUGAGUACCACGGGACACGAGAAAUCCUGUGGGAAGCCGGGGGGACCACCCUCCAAGGCUAAAUACCCUUAGCUACCGAUAGUGAACCAGUACCGUGAGGGAAAGGUGAAAAGAACCCCGGGAGGGGAGUGAAAUAGACCUGAAACCGUAAGCUUACAGAAUGUCGGAGCCCUGCUUUUGUGGGGUGACGGCGUGCCUAUUGAAGAAUGAUCCAGGGAGUUACUGCGAGGGGCGAGGUUAAGGAACUGGAGUUCCGGAGCCAUAGCGAAGGCGAGUCCGAAUAGGGCGUUUAGUCCCCCGUAGUAGACCCGAAACCGGGCGAUCUACCCAUGGCCAGGAUGAAGGUACGUUAACGCGUACUGGAGGUCCGAACCGUAUACUGGUACAAAAGUAUCGGAUGAGUUGUGGGUAGCGGUGAAAUGCCAAUCGAGCUCGGAAAUAGCUGGUUCUCCCCGAAAUGCAUUUAGGUGCAGCCUCAGGAAUAGGUUGACGGAGGUAGGGCACUGGAUGGGCUAGGGGGCGUGAGCUUUACCAAACCCAACCAAACCACCAAUGCCGUUUAACCGUUUACUGGGAGUGAGACUGUCGGAGAUAAGUUCGAUGGUCGAAAGGGAAACAGCCCAGACCACCAGCUAAGGCCCCCAAGAACAGACUAAGUGGGAAACGAGGUAGAGUUCCUCGGACAACCAGGAGGUUGGCUUAGAAGCAGCCAUCCUUUGAAGAGUGCGUAAUAGCUCACUGGUCGAGGGGUUCUGCGCGGAAAAUGUACCGGGGCUAAGUCUGUCGCCGAAGCUGUGGUCCCGGCCCCAUAUCCGUAUGGGACCGGGAGGUAGGGGAGCGUUCCUCUUGCGUCGAAGCUCUGAUGUGAAUUUGGGUGGAGCGAGGGGAAGUGAGAAUCCUGGAAUGAGUAGCGUAAAUCAGGGUGAGAAUCCCUGACACCGAAAGUCUAAGGUUUCCUACGCAACGUUUAUCGGCGUAGGGUUAGUCGGUCCUAAGCCGUAGGCGAAAGCCGAAGGCGAUGGACAGUAGGUUAAUAUUCCUACACCGCCGUUUCUUCGUUUUAAAGCCAAGGGGGGACGCGGGAGGGUAGGUGGAUCGCGCCUAUUGGACAUGGCGCGUCCUAAUUCGUAGGCGAUGCCGGAGCAGGCAAAUCCACUCCGGCGCUUAAGCUGAGGAAUGAGGGAAUUCGUUGAUUUCGGUCAACGAAAACUCCGCUGACCCCACACCGACGAGAAAAUCCUCGUGGCUAUGGAGAAAAGGCGUCCGUACCGCAAACCGACACUGGUAGACAGGGGUAAAAGCCCCAAGGUGUUCGGGCGAACCUCCGCUAAGGAACUAGGCAAAAGAGCCCCGUAACUUCGGGAUAAGGGGCGCCCUGGAGGGUAACGUCACUAGCUGACAGAGCUCCUCCGGGGCCGCAGAUAAGACGUCCAGGCGACUGUUUAUCAAAAACACAGGUGUCUGCAAAGGGGAAACCCUAAGUAUAGGCGCUGACGCCUGCCCAGUGCCGGAAGGUUAAGGGGAAGGGUGCAAGCUCUGAACUGAAGCCCCGGUGAACGGCGGCCGUAACUCUAACGGUCCUAAGGUAGCGAAACCCCUUGUCGGGUAAGUUCCGACCCGCAUGAAAGGCGUAACGAUCUGGACACUGUCUCGGCGGAGGCCCCGGUGAAAUUGCAGUGCCCGUGAAGAUGCGGGCGACCCGCAGCAGGACAAAAAGACCCCGUGGAGCUUUACUGCAGCCUGGUAUUGGUCUGGGAACAUGGAUGUGUAGCAUAGGUGGGAGGCUUGGAAGUCUCGACGCCAGUCGAGAUGGAGCCAUCGUUGAAAUACCACUCUUCUCUGUUCUUGGUUCUAACCCCAUGAAUCUGGGGGACAGUGCUUGGUGGGCAGUUUAGCUGGGGCGGCUGCCUCCUAAAAGGUAACGGAGGCGUCCAAAGGUCCCCUCAGGGCGGAUGGAAAUCGCCCUACGAGCGCAUUGGCAUAAGGGGGCUUGACUGCGAGGCAUACAAGCCGAGCAGAGACGAAAGUCGGGCAAAGUGAUCCUACGGCUCCGUGUGGAAGGGCCGUGGCUUAACGGAUAAAAGCUACCCCGGGGAUAACAGGCUUAUCUCGCCCAAGAGUUCACAUCGACGGCGAGGUUUGGCACCUCGAUGUCGCCUCAUCCUAUCCUGGGGCUGAAGAAGGUCCCAAGGGUUCGGCUGUUCGCCGAUUAAAAGGGUACGUGAGUUGGGUUCAGAACGUCGUGAGACAGUUCGGUCUCUAUCCGCUGUGGGCGCAGGAAGCUUGAGGAGUUCUCUUCCUAGUACGAGAGGACCGGAAGGGACGGACCUAUGGUGUACCGGCUGUUCCGCCAGGAGCAACGUCGGGUAGCCACGUCCGGUGUGGAUAAGCGCUGAAGGCAUAUAAGCGCGAAGCCCUCUCCAAGAUUAGGCUUCCCAUCCCUCGACUUGUCGAGGGAGUAAGGCAGCAGGCAGACUACCUGCUCGAUAGGCCGGGAGUGUAAGGACAGCAAUGUUUUCAGCUUACCGGUACUAAUCAGCCGAGGACUUGGCCCU